CAGCUGCCUAGGGGCUUUUCCGGCCUGGGCCAAGGCAGGAGGAAGCCCCAACUAACUCAUAGUCACUCCUCAGAAUACUUUUAUUAAAGGGGAAAAAAUCACCAAUGAUGAUAUCCAGUGACAAGCUUCUGCCACCCACACAUUCCACGUUCCACCUGGCCAUGAGCUGGUUUCAGUCUCAGGGCACAAGCAACACAAGUCAGAAUUUUUUUUUUUUCUUUUAAUCUUUGGGGAAGAAACAGAAAAGGAGGAGAAAGCAGAGUAACAAGUGCAGAUUAAAUAUGAGGCAGGUCCAGGCUUUUGAUACCACUGUGUUUAACUCACCAAAUAAUCAGAGCAUUAAAUGCAGGCAUAAUUUGUCAGCAAGCUCCCUCCAUUGUUCCCUGAAGCAUGCGGGGUUGGGGGGGGGUGUGGGCUAAUUCAAUUCACGUGGGAAUCGGUGUUUACAUCCACGAGUCCUAAUGGAAGGGCACACCAUUUUCAAACUGGAACAAAUAAAUCAUAAUGCCCUUUGCCACUAAAACCGGGGACCUUGCGAUGCCUCUCUCUUGGUGGACGAGCUACAUUUGGAAGGACGUUGUUUUCUUCAGUGUGGAAAUCUCCACUUGCUGGCUACUGCAGCAAGUCCCAGAAGAAAGCCAGGUGCAUGGCAGUCCAUCUCUCCGGCGGAACCCUGUUUCAUGGCCUGCGGGUGCUGCGGGGCGGUGGACACUCGCUUGUAGCAUCCGGAUGGAAGCGGAACCACCUCCGUCCGCGUGGCCGCGGCCUCCCAAGAAACCGGAGCAGGUCAAGGAGGCGCGGCCCAGACCGGCCAGCAGGGGACGCCGCGGGCCCUGUCGAAACAAAGGCUCGCGGCCGGGAGCCGGGAAGUGGGGGGCGGCACCGGGGGGCCGGUGGGGCGGGGGGGGGUCUCCACCCCGCGCCCUCCGCAGCCCAAACCCGCCCGCGGCCCGGGGGCUGACCCAGGGCAGCCCGGCCCCCUGGGAGGGGACGGGCGGGGGUGACCUGGUGUCUUUCCCAAGAUGGUUCCCACGGGCCGCGCGGUCGCGGGCAUCUGUCCCCGGGUCACCGACGGGCUUCCCCGCGGCGCAGCGCGGCCGCCCGGGGGUGCUGCGAGGCGGGGACCCCAGGCCCGCGUGGGCACAGCCGCCGAGGCCUGCGCCAUCCCGGGGGGCAGGUCCUCCCGCCCGCGCCGCCCGCCCCCCGGCCACUCCCUGCGGUGACCUCAUUCCGGGGUCGCGCCGAGCAGCCUGCCUUCCGCGCCCGGGACCUUGCAGGCUUUUGCGUUUGCACACGCGGCGCGGGCGGCCUCGUCCUUAG
Molecule: long non-coding RNA, 1320 nt
Filed under: Bos indicus x Bos taurus (hybrid cattle)
Lineage: Eukaryota; Metazoa; Chordata; Mammalia; Artiodactyla; Bovidae
Description: lncRNA (ENSBIXG00000028644.1)
Source: RNAcentral